UCCAAAUGAGAGGGGCUGACCCACCAGGACUGCUGAAACAGGGCUAAGUGACCAAUUCGAGAAGCCAGGGAAGGAACUCAAAGUGACAGUGGAUUGGGAAGAAACCAAGCUAGUUCUGAAUAGUGGUUAAAUUACUAGGAAUCAAGGAAAGGAGAUGGAAACAAAGAAGAAAUUAAGAAAAGGGGCGAGCCAUCGAUAAGAGCCCUGACAGUCUAUAAAUGUAAAAGUCAAAUUGAUUCUUCCUGCAAAACAUGCAGAGCAGAAGAGGCGGAGGGAACAUAAUUGGAGCCCGCGUUUCAGAGGCUGCUUACUCGGCACAUGGUGUGGGAGCAGCAUUUUCACA
Molecule: non-coding RNA, 343 nt
Organism: Microcebus murinus (gray mouse lemur)
Lineage: Eukaryota; Metazoa; Chordata; Mammalia; Primates; Cheirogaleidae
Source: RefSeq, a predicted model, not a curated record